UACGUAGGGAGCAAGCGUUGUCCGGAAUCAUUGGGCGUAAAGCGCGCGUAGGCGGCCCCGUAAGUCCGCUGUGAAAGUCCAAGGCUCAACCUUUGAAAGCCGGUGGAUACUGUGGGGCUAGAGUCCGGAAGAGGCGAGUGGAAUUCCUGGUGUAGCGGUGGAAUGCGCAGAUAUCAGGAGGAACACCAAUAGCGAAGGCAGCUCGCUGGGACGGUACUGACGCUGAGGCGCGAAAGCGUGGGGAGCGAACAGG
This 253-nucleotide ribosomal RNA is filed under the name uncultured bacterium. Its description in RNAcentral is "partial 16S ribosomal RNA". It matches the Rfam family "Bacterial small subunit ribosomal RNA", at positions 524 to 776 of the family's 1533-position model. The record is from RNAcentral.